GAGUUUGAUCAUGGCUCAGAUUGAACGCUGGCGGCAUGCCUUACACAUGCAAGUCGAACGGCAGCACGGGAGCUUGCUCCUGGUGGCGAGUGGCGAACGGGUGAGUAAUGCAUCGGAACGUAUCCUGGAGUGGGGGAUAACGUAGCGAAAGUUACGCUAAUACCGCAUAUUCUGUGAGCAGGAAAGCGGGGGACCUUCGGGCCUCGCGCUCUUGGAGCGGCCGAUGUCGGACUAGCUAGUUGGUGAGGUAAAGGCUCACCAAGGCGACGAUCCGUAGCAGGUCUGAGAGGAUGAUCUGCCACACUGGAACUGAGACACGGUCCAGACUCCUACGGGAGGCAGCAGUGGGGAAUUUUGGACAAUGGGGGCAACCCUGAUCCAGCCAUGCCGCGUGAGUGAAGAAGGCCU
This 408-nucleotide ribosomal RNA is filed under the name bacterium enrichment culture clone ALO1_GLFRUDD03F3KE4. RNAcentral's name for it is "bacterial SSU rRNA". It matches the Rfam family "Bacterial small subunit ribosomal RNA", at positions 9 to 417 of the family's 1533-position model. The record is from RNAcentral.